UUUUUACCCUCAUGUAUAUUGCAUUUUCUUUGGAUAGUCUCAUGGAUUCUCAAGGAUAUUGUAUUCCUGUAUUUUACCAUUCAUGAGUUUAGAAGUGUGUUUACUUUCCUGAGUUUUCAUUUUCUUUUUCUUCUGUCAUAUGUAAUUUACAGAGCAAAUACCUACCAGAACGGAUAACUUGAGAGAUGUGGAAAGUCCAGAUUUUGGAUGAAUCUCUAUAAUGGAGAUUGAACAGUGUCACUGGCGUGGGGGUUACCUUCCCACUAUGUCCCCCAGAAGACAUGAGGCCACAGACUGCAGUGCCCGUGGACAGAGGAGCUGUGGGGAUGGAAGUGUGAUUGCUUCAUUCAAAUGCACGCCCCGGUGCGUGUGCGUCUCUUCUGAUGCAGCGCCCCAUGGAUACCCCAUCAGCCUGAGUCUCUUAAAGGCCUUUAUACACACAUGUCUACACAUAGGGAUUUGGAUUAUCUCGGGAUCCCACAUCCUCGCUGUCCCCUGUCCCCCCGCAACAUCCCCCACCAAUACCUUUCUGAAGUUUUCUAGUCCCUCCUUUUUGUUUGUGCUCCUUAAAGCCCAGCCCCAUGCCUGACUUUGGUUCCCAGUGAGCAUUGUACAUUUGUGGAUAUUAAAUCUUUGGCAAAGUCAU
This 646-nucleotide long non-coding RNA is filed under the name Pan troglodytes (chimpanzee). Its description in RNAcentral is "long non-coding RNA NONPTRT008486". The record is from RNAcentral. Lineage: Eukaryota; Metazoa; Chordata; Mammalia; Primates; Hominidae.